Long non-coding RNA from Taeniopygia guttata (zebra finch), 772 nucleotides. RefSeq lists it as uncharacterized. Lineage: Eukaryota; Metazoa; Chordata; Aves; Passeriformes; Estrildidae. The record is from RefSeq and is a predicted model, not a curated record.
CACUCCUCCAUAAAGCAGAACUGGAUUCCUGAGAAAAAACUCCAGAGUACAAAAACAAAUCUAGUAAUUUCAGAUCAGACCUGGAAAUACUACCUCAUGGCUCUCAAAGGGCAACACAGUUUCUUCCAUCUGACCACAAUUCAGCCGUCUAUGGGAUUUUUAGGGGAAAUGAUACAUCAGUGAGAGAGUAUGAGCUGGGAGGAACAACAAGAUUUUGGCAGCAGAACGCCUUCAUUAGUCACAAAUGUGCUCCUCAUUUAGGACUGCUUGCCGCCACGGGGAUCCUCAUGAACACAGGACAACAUUUUUAUUUCUUUAUCACCUGGUGACCGAACAUACAGUCUAGCAGAUGGAUGUCUACAAAGACAAGCCAAAAACUCAGCAGCCAGGUCAAGGUUCUUCCAGUGACCAGGUGUACAAGAAGUCAGGAGGGAGCAUGACCAGAACAGCUAACCUGAACUGGCCAAAGGGAUAUUCCAAACCACAGAACAUCAUGCAGAGUACAUAAACUUGGGGAGAGUGGCCAGAAUCUGCUGAUUUCUGCUUGGGAAUGGGCUGGGCAUUGAUCAGUGGGUAGUGACUGUACUGUGAAUUUCUUAUUUCUUUGUGGUUUAUUUCUCCCUUUCUCUUUCUUUCUCUCUCCCCAUUUCUCUAAAAUUUUUGUUACUUUUAUUGUUAUUGUUUUUAUUAUGAAUAUUAUUUUCAUUAUUAUUGUUGUUAAUAUAUUUUAUGAAUAUGUUAUGAAUUAUUAAACUGGUUUUAUCUCAGCCCA